UAUCGAUAUGUUUAUUGAGA
RNAcentral lists this small RNA (20 nucleotides) under Caenorhabditis elegans. RNAcentral describes it as "Unclassified non-coding RNA K08A2.10". Lineage: Eukaryota; Metazoa; Nematoda; Chromadorea; Rhabditida; Rhabditidae. The record is from RNAcentral.